Long non-coding RNA from Apis cerana (Asiatic honeybee), 672 nucleotides. RefSeq lists it as uncharacterized. The record is from RefSeq and is a predicted model, not a curated record. NCBI's taxonomy places the organism in Eukaryota, Metazoa, Arthropoda, Insecta, Hymenoptera, Apidae.
CAGGAACUGCAAAUAGAUUAAUAAAAAAAAUUAAUAAUCGAUAAUUAAUUGUUAGAAUAUGAUUGUUUAUGCUGACGAAAUGAAAAGAUAUGCAAUUAGAAGAAAUUUGAUAUUUUUUAUUUACAUAUCUGAAUAUUUAUUAAUUAUAUAUUUGCAGAAAUGAUAAAGAUAAUAGAAAACACUCUCAUCUGUACCAUUUUAUUAUCAGAUCCUUUUGGAACAAUAUCACUGUUUUUUAAAACUCUUGCUCAUUCCUAUCGCUACAGAGAUCGGUUACUAUCCGAAAUACACUAGGAUAUAUCUGAAUAUGGAGAACGAAACCACUUCCGGUUGACUAUCGUUUACGGACUCGCCUCGCUGAAUUUCUUCACAUUCGAGGGAUAACUGCCCUCGAUAACAGUUAGACCAAACAUGAUUAUACGCGAAACUUUCUGCAUACGUUACAAGAUCAUUAUUGAGAAUCCUCAAAUUUAACGUGUCCAUCGAUCGAGAAACAAAAUAAUAUUCGACACUUUUACGGAUGAGUUUCGUUCCCUCAUGAUUCAAUAAAAUCAUUUUUAGAUAAAUAAAUAAAUACAAGUGUAUUUUCAUCGAAUUAUUGUAGAAUUGUAAAUGGACUUCUCACGAGGUGUCAACAUUCUAUAUAAUCACGUCGAAUCGAUGAAUAUUGCA